Molecule: unclassified non-coding RNA, 299 nt
Filed under: uncultured fungus
Lineage: Eukaryota; Fungi
Description: partial contains 5.8S ribosomal RNA, internal transcribed spacer 2, and large subunit ribosomal RNA
Rfam family: 5.8S ribosomal RNA (bases 1-52)
Source: RNAcentral
AACGCACCUUGCGCUCCUUGGUAUUCCGAGGAGCAUGCCUGUUUGAGUGUCAUUAAUAUAUCAACCUCUUCAAAUUUGUUUGUUGAGUGUUGGAUGUGGGGGGUAUUUCUUUUGCUGGUCUCUCUUUGAGGUCAGCUCCCCUAAAAUAUAUUAGCGGGACAAUUUGUUGACCGUUCAUUGGUGUGAUAACUAUCUACGCUAUUGACGUGAGGCAGGUUCAGCUUCUAACAGUCCAUUGACUUGGACAAAACUUUCAUUAAUGUGACCUCAAAUCAGGUAGGACUACCCGCUGAACUUAA